GGCGAACGCUGGCGGCGUGCUUAACACAUGCAAGUCGAACGGAAAGGCCCUGCUUUUGUGGGGUGCUCGAGUGGCGAACGGGUGAGUAACACAUGAGUAACCUGCCCUUGACUUUGGGAUAACUUCAGGAAACUGGGGCUAAUACCGGAUAGGAGCUCCUGCUGCAUGGUGGGGGUUGGAAAGUUUCGGCGGUUGGGGAUGGACUCGCGGCUUAUCAGCUUGUUGGUGGGGUAGUGGCUUACCAAGGCUUUGACGGGUAGCCGGCCUGAGAGGGUGACCGGCCACAUGGGGACUGAGAUACGGCCCAGACUCCUACGGGAGGCAGCAGUGGGGAAUAUUGCACAAUGGGCGGAAGCCCAAUGCAGCAACGCCGCGUGCGGGAUGACGGCCUUCGGGUUGUAAACCGCUUUCGCCUGUGACGAAGCGUGAGUGACGGUAAUGGGUAAAGAAGCACCGGCUAACUACGU
Molecule: ribosomal RNA, 467 nt
Filed under: uncultured bacterium
Lineage: Bacteria
Description: partial 16S ribosomal RNA
Rfam family: Bacterial small subunit ribosomal RNA
Source: RNAcentral